This 1714-nucleotide ribosomal RNA is filed under the name Trichonephila clavipes. RNAcentral describes it as "SSU rRNA". It matches the Rfam family "Eukaryotic small subunit ribosomal RNA". Lineage: Eukaryota; Metazoa; Arthropoda; Arachnida; Araneae; Nephilidae. The record is from RNAcentral.
CAUGCCGCUAAUACGAAAGGCGAAACCGCAAAUGGCUCAUUAAAUCAGUCACGGUUCAUUGGAUCGUAACGCGUUACUUGGAUAACUGUAGUAAUUCUAGAGCUAAUACAUGCAGCCGAGCUCCGAUCGCCCUCUCGGGGGCGGGACGAGCGCUUUUAUUAGAUUCUUCCCCACGGUCUCCGGACCGUCGAAGUGACCGAAGCUGAGUAACUUUGCAGAUCGCACGGGCCCGUCCCGGCGACGCAUCCUUCAAGUGUCUGCCUUAUCAACUGUCGACGGUAGGUUAUUCGCCUACCGUGGUCGCCACGGGUGACGGGGAAUCAGGGUUCGAUUCCGGAGAGGGAGCCUGAGAAACGGCUACCACAUCUAAGGAAGGCAGCAGGCACGCAAAUUACCCAAUCCCGGCUCGGGGAGGUAGUGACGAAAAAUAACGACGCUGGACUCUACGAGACCCAGUCGUCGGAAUGAGUGCGCUCUAAAUCCUCGACGCGAGGACCCACCGGAGGGCAAGACUAAUGCCAGCCGCUGCGGUAAUUUUAGCUCCGGUAGCGUAUACUAAAUUUGUUGCAGUUAAAAAGCUCGUAGUUGGAUUCCUGCUCUGGACGUAGGGGGCCGCUAACGCGGUUCGCCAUGCGCACCCGGCAUUCUGCCCGCCGCUCCCGGGAUCGUUGUCAAAGGCGGUCUCGGGGUGGAUGGCGGAGAUCGCUUUGCAAAAAUUAGAGUGCUCUAGGCGGGCCGAUAAGCUCGAAUAGUAAUGCACGGUACGAUGAAACAUGACUUUGGCUCUUAUUCGGUUGGGGCACGGAGACCGAGGUAAUGAUUAAUAGGAGCAGACGGGGGCAUUCGUAUUCCGACGCUAGAGGUGAAAUUCUGGACCGUCGGAAGACGCACCACUGCGAAAGCAUUUGCCAAGAAUGUUUCCGUUGACCAAGAACGAAAGUGUGGGGCUCAAAGAAGAUUAGAUACCUUUGUAGUCUUGUACCCUAAACGAUACCCGCCAGCGAUCCGGCUGCGUACGAACGUGACGCGCCGGGCAGCUCUUCCGGGGAAACCAGAGUUCCGGCUCCGGGGGAAGUAUGGUUGCAAAGCUGAAACUUAAAGGAAUUGACGGAGGGGCACUACCAGGAGUGGAGCCUACGGCUUAAUUUGACUCAACACGGGAAAACUUACCCGGCCCGGACGUGUUAUCGGUUGAACAGACUGACGGCUCUUUUUAGAGUUUGUGGAUGGUGGUGCAUGGCCGCAGUUGGUUCGUGGGGUGACCUGUCUGGUUAAUUCCGAUAAACGGACGAGAUUCUUGCUUGCUAAAUAGGUCGUCUUUCUUCAYAAUGGAAACGACGGCUUCUUAGAAGGACCGUCGGCUUCGAAGCCGUACGAAAAGGAGCGAUUGCAGGUCUGUGAUGCCCUAAGAUGUCCGGGGCCGCACGUGCGCUACAGUAGAGCGGACAACGUGCUUCUUUGUUCCUUGGCCUGUCGGCCUAGGUAACCAGAGCAGUCCCUCUCAGUGCUGGGGACAGGGGAUUGUAAUUGUUCCCCUCCAACGAGGAAUUCCUAGUAGGCGCGAGUCAUUAACUCGUGCCGACUAAGUCACUGCCCUUUGUACACACCGCCCGUCGCUAUCUCCGAUCGAGCGGUGGAGUGAGGUCUUCGGACGAGCUCGCUGGUCCUUCCUCGUCGGAGGACCGGGUGUGGCGCGGAAAAAGACCGAACUUGG